This 505-nucleotide ribosomal RNA is filed under the name uncultured bacterium. RNAcentral describes it as "partial 16S ribosomal RNA". It matches the Rfam family "Bacterial small subunit ribosomal RNA", at positions 29 to 523 of the family's 1533-position model. The record is from RNAcentral.
AACGAACGCUGGCGGCGUGCUUAACACAUGCAAGUCGAACGCGGACGGGUUCUUCGGGACCUUAGUAGAGUGGCGCACGGGUGAGUAACGCGUAUGUUAUCUACCUCGGCAUCUGGAAUAACUCACCGAAAGGUGUGCUAAUACCGGAUACGUUGUGUAAUCAAGAAAGGUGGCCGCUGAAUAUGCUACCGUGCUGAGAUGAGCUUGCGUACCAUUAGCUAGUUGGUGGGGUAAUGGCCUACCAAGGCGACGAUGGUUAGCGGGUCUGAGAGGAUGAUCCGCCACACUGGAACUGGAACACGGACCAGACUCCUACGGGAGGCAGCAGUGAGGAAUAUUGCGCAAUGGGGGCAACCCUGACGCAGCGACGCCGCGUGGAUGAUGAAGGCCUUCGGGUCGUAAAAUCCUGUCAGGUGGAAAGAAAUGUAUAUGUGCUAAUACCAUGUAUACUUGACGGUACCACCGAAGGAAGCACCGGCUAACUCCGUGCCAGCAGCCGCCGUAA